GCCACGGUAGCUCAGCCUGGAAGAGCAGCUGCCUUGUAAGCAGCAGGUCGAGGGAUCAAAUCCCUCCCGUGGCU
This 74-nucleotide transfer RNA is filed under the name Nitrososphaerota archaeon. RNAcentral describes it as "tRNA-Thr". It matches the Rfam family "tRNA". Rfam says of the family: Transfer RNA (tRNA) molecules are approximately 80 nucleotides in length. Their secondary structure includes four short double-helical elements and three loops (D, anti-codon, and T loops). The record is from RNAcentral. Lineage: Archaea; Thermoproteati; Nitrososphaerota.